Molecule: long non-coding RNA, 974 nt
Filed under: Fukomys damarensis (Damara mole-rat)
Lineage: Eukaryota; Metazoa; Chordata; Mammalia; Rodentia; Bathyergidae
Description: lncRNA (ENSFDAG00000022743.1)
Source: RNAcentral
AUGUGGUAUUUGGGGCUUCUUUCUGCACGAUGCUUGACAGGAGCUGUUAAAGCUCACAGAAACCACCAUGUACCAUCCUUCUGGUUCCAUGACUCUUUGCUAUUGCACUGGGAUCACAAGCAGAUGCUCCUGUUCUUUCUCCACUCCUACCAGCGCAGUGGAAAGACCCAAGAGGAAAAACUCGCAGUACUAAGAACCAUGACAAAGAAAACAGAAGACCAAUGGAGAUUGUACUGGGACAAAAGUUCGGCUCCUGACUCCCCUCAACACUGAUGCCAGAAUCAUUAUCCAUAUGGAUUUCAUUAAUUUUCCUAAUGUGAAAUGCUAAUGUCUAAGACACCUAAUUACCUGGCCUAUUUAAAAUAAAAACGUAAGCAUAUAAUCAGCUAGGUAAUGAAUUUUUUUAUGGAGAGAAAGUAUGUUGCUUUAGGAGAACAACACCAACAUUACAGGCAUUUUAAAAUCUUGUGUUAAGACUGCUUUUCUCAUUUGACACCUUCCUAAUUCCAGUUACAAACUUUCCCUAAUGAGUAACAACACUAAAACCUGAUGGGUCAAGACUAACUAAGUGUGUAAGACUGGUCUUUCUCUCCCCCCACAAAGGAAUUUUAUGCUCACCAACCGAUGGGGUGGGGAGCAGUGUGGAAAUGUUAAAACUUUAGUUAGUUGCUGUUUUAAAGUAAUGACAAAUAUGUGACCAAAAGAGAUUUGUGAACUUGUUUACAGUCGGUUUAGUUACUAACAUGUCCCUGCUCAUGCCGUGUUCUCUAAAAUGCCUUCUUUUUUCACUAUCCACAUCCAACUAUUCUUCAGGAUGCUCAUUCUCCAAAACACAGCUCAUGUCUCUCCUCAGUCAUCUCAUACCUGUUCAGGCCAUGGCUUAUUAUCCACCUGGGCAAGCUGUUCAGCACAUUUUACACCCCACCUUUUCAAGAGGCUAUGAAGGUUAGAAAACUCUUGUGGGUAGUGAUAUG